Long non-coding RNA from Pan troglodytes (chimpanzee), 1986 nucleotides. RefSeq lists it as uncharacterized. The transcript is spliced from 2 exons. The record is from RefSeq and is a predicted model, not a curated record. Lineage: Eukaryota; Metazoa; Chordata; Mammalia; Primates; Hominidae.
UUCAGGGUCUGCGGAGGUUAUGCCCAGCGCGUCAGGCGCCCUGCGGCCACCUCUCAGGGUGCCCGGGGACCCCGCCCCUUCCGCCUCGGCUGCCUGUGCCUCUCACGCCCCCGCCCUCGGGCCCUCGGUGGGCGGGACCCCUAAUCCGCCUGCUGCUCAGAGCCCUCCUCAGGGUGCCCAGCUCUCCACCAGCGGCUCCACCGUCGGCUUGGGACGCAGAUGGCCUCAGAGGUCACCAUCGGGAAGCGCAGGGAGGGGGCCGCUGAGUGUCCAGGUCCUUGGGGGCCGCUCAGGGCUCGGCUGCCCUUCAUUCCCCCGCUGGUGGGUCCCGGGCCGCUUCCCCUUCGGCUUCCACCCCACCCCAUGAGGGGCCCUUUCCAGUUGUCUUCCCCACAAGCGUUUUCCCAGGGCCUCCGAUGCACCUGCCCUCAGCCUCGGCCCUCCGCCUUCUCUGCCGCCCUCCCCCAGUGCUCACCCACCCAGUGCUCACCCGCUGCAUCAGAACCCUGCUCCGCAGGAUACGGCCCUGCCGUCCUGCGGACGCUGCGUCCCCAGCGCCCACAGCAGAAACCGAGGGUUGUUGGUGCCACGGUGGUCGAUGUCAUGGCACAGGCCGGCUGUCACCAUGGCGAAGGCCUCCAGGUCCGUGUAGUAGCUCUUCAGUUUGCCGGUCUGUAGAGACAGGGCCACCUUGCUCACCGGUCCUGGCUCCAGCAGGGUGGGGAGUGGUGAGGGGUUGGGAUGACCGAGGCGUCGGGUUGGAGGUUGGACCCCCGACCACCGCAGGGCUGGGGUGCGUGGUGCACGGUGUCAGAGGGCGUUGCCCUCCUCCAUCCUUCUGCCCUGGGAGGACCCCCAUCUCAUCCCUCGGGGUGCUUGAGUGCUGCCCUUGGUACCAGGAGGGCCUGCACAACCCUGGUGAUUCUGGCAGCCACGUACCAUGAGCAGCGUGAACAUCGUCUGGGCCACGUUGAAGCCGUGGCGCCAGUUGUGGUAGGUGAUUCUCCGGUACCCUUUGCUGAUGGAGAACAGGAACCGCACCAGGACCUGGGGGAGCCGAGAGGACACAGGGCUCCGGCGGCAAGCGUGUAAGUCCCGCCAGAGCGGCAACUGUGGCUGACUUCACGGUGGAAGCCCUGCUCCGUGCCAUCAUCCCCACACCGUCUCCUGGACUUCCCGAUCUUCCCCAUCCCUGCGUUUCCCACUGGCCUCUGCUGGCCUUCCUGGGUAGGGGGCUGCCACAUUGGCACCUUUGGGGUGGAGCCAGGCAGGGCAGGAGCUGAGAACAGCCCCAGCCUUCAGGGGCCGCCCAGCCUCCAUCCGACUGCCUGGCCUCAAGCUGGGAGGAGGACCUCUGGGGAUGCAGCAUAUUUUAAGAUGUUGGUUUUAGGCAUGGACAUUUGAAUGAGCAGAAUGUGUGGGCUGCAGGCUGGGGUGGGAGAGCCGAUGUCCGCAGGGCAAGAGAAUGCUGGUCUCUCUUGCCCUGCGGACAUCGCCAGGAGGCUCUUCCUGCGGCCAUUGUGAUUUUUAGGGUCAGAAAAUUAUUUGGAAAUAUUUUUUAUUCUGCAAAUAUUUUCUAUACAUUUUUUCUUGAGUGUUUUCCCUUAGUAUUUAGUAAAACUUCUUUUGAAAAUGCUGGCCUGCUGCACCUGUUCUCAGAGGGGCAUGAGAAAAGAGGAUUCUCUUCCUUGGGCUGUGGGAAGCCCCUUGAGAUGUUGGAAGCAGGGCAGGGCAGGAGAACCCAGGGAGGGCACAGAGCUGUGGACGAGGGCUGGGAAAGCCAUCCCGCCUCCCCAGGGGGUCUCCGAGGAGUGCUGCUGUGGCCAAACCAGGGGGGCCACUUUGUGCUUUCUGUUUAGGUGAUGGGAUGCUUCUAUCUCCUCAGCAGCCCACACCAAAUCCCCUGUUAUUGCCAGAUGAUGUGCCUAAUGAUCAAAUUGCUUGGAACUCCUAAUAAUAAAACUUUAAAUCUAUCCAUUCACCAUC